This 719-nucleotide long non-coding RNA is filed under the name Pan troglodytes (chimpanzee). Its description in RNAcentral is "long non-coding RNA NONPTRT002721". The record is from RNAcentral. Lineage: Eukaryota; Metazoa; Chordata; Mammalia; Primates; Hominidae.
CCGUUUUUCCUUAAAGGAUCCUCGAAGCCGGAAGGAGCAGCCACCUCCCACUCCCGGCUGCUGCAAGCAAGCUGCUUUGACCUCUUUCUAGAGUUGGGGAUUGCUGCUGGAGUCCGAGUCUCAGGCCCAGAGUGGGUGCGAUGGUCUUGCUUGCACCCUGUAUCCCCCGGCAGACGCCCGGGAACUCUACUAAGUGGGUGACCCCAGAGAGCUCGCCCCCACACUCCGACUCCGAGUCCAGCACUCGGUCCACUGCACAGGGACCUCGCGCCCCACAGCUGCGUCCUCUCUGACCUUCGCGAUCCGGUGCGCGGCCCGCGGAACGCCCCGAUCUCCAGGAGCACGGAAGGCCGAGGCGUGCCGGGGGAGCCAGGAGCAGCUGGCUGGCGGGCGCCGCGGGCCUCCCCGGUCACGUGACACCCCGGGCAACGUGCGCCGUCACCUGACGGCGGAGCCUGUGAACGUUUUUCUCACGUGACGGAGGCGCCUGCACGUGGACCAAUGGGGAGGCGGGGGCGGGGCCGGCAGGGGCGGUGCGCGGGAAGGGACCCCGGACCCGGAGGUCGCGGAGAGCUGGGCAGUGUUGGCCGCUGGCGGAGCGCUGGGGCAGCAUGAAGUGCCUGGUCACGGGCGGCAACGUGAAGGUGCUCGGCAAGGCCGUCCACUCCCUGUCCCGCAUCGGGGACGAGCUCUACCUGGAACCCUUGGAGGACGGGGUG